GGUCCCGUAGUGUAGCGGUUAACACGCCUGCCUGUCACGCAGGAGAUCGCGGGUUCGAUUCUCGUCGGGACCG
Molecule: transfer RNA, 73 nt
Filed under: Staphylococcus sp. HMSC066G04
Lineage: Bacteria; Bacillati; Bacillota; Bacilli; Caryophanales; Staphylococcaceae
Description: tRNA-Asp
Rfam family: tRNA
About the family: Transfer RNA (tRNA) molecules are approximately 80 nucleotides in length.
Source: RNAcentral